AUUGACUUGCCUAUGCGGGCUCUCUUUUGGUUCCAUAUGAAGUUCAUGGUGGUUUUUUCCAGUUCUGUGAAGAAAGUCAAUGGUAGCUUGAUGGGGAUAGCGUUGAUUCUGUAAAUUACUUUGGGCAGUAUAGCCAUUUUCACGAUAUUAAUUCUUCCUAACCAUGAACAUGGAAUGUUUCUCCAUCUGUUUGUGUCCUCUCUGAUUUCGUUGAGCAGUGGUUUGUAGUUCUCCUUGAAGAGGUCCCUUACGUUCCUUGUGAGUUGUAUUCCAAGGUAUUUUAUUCUUUUUGUAGCAAUUGCGAAUGGCAGUUCGCUCUUGAUUUGGCUUUCUUUAAGUCUGUUAUUGGAGUAGACGAAUGCUUGUGAUUUUUGCACAUUGAUUUUAUAUCCUGAGACUUUGCUGAAGUUGUUUAUCAGUUUCAGGAGUUUUUGGGCUGAGGCGAUGGGGUCUUCUAGGUAUACUAUCAUGUCGUCUGCAAAUAGAGACAAUUUGGCUUCCACCUUUCCUAUUUGAAUACCCUUUAUUUCUUUUUCUUGCCUGAUUGCUCUGGCUAGAACUUCCAGUACUAUAUUGAAUAGGAGUGGUGAGAGAGGGCAUCCUUGUCUAGUACCAGAUUUCAAAGGGAAUGCUUCCAGUUUUUGCCCAUUCAGUAUGAUAUUGGCUGUUGUUUUGUCAAGAUCAGAUCCUUUUAGAUGUGUGGUGUUACUUCUAAGGACUCUAUUCUGUUCCAUUGGUCUAUAGUUCGAAGCCAGGCCAUGUGAUUACUCCAGAUUUUUUUUGCUUGUUUGUCUUUUGUGCUCAGGAUUGUUUUGGCUAUGUGGGCUUUUUUUUGGUUUCAUAUGAAAUUUAAGAUUUUUUUUCCAAUUCUGUGAAGAAAAUCCAUGGUAGCUUGAUGAAGAUAGCACUGAAUCUAUAAAUUACUUUGGGCAGUAUGGCCAUUUUUACAAUAUUGAUUCUUCCUAACCAUGAGCAUGGAAUGUUUUUCCAUUUGUUUGUGUCCUCUCUUAUUUCCUUGAGCAGUGGUUUGUAGUUCUUGUUGAAGAGGACUUUCACGUCCCUUGUUAGUUGUAUUACUAGGUAUUUAAUUCUCUUUGUAGCAAUUGUAAAUGUGAGUUCACUCAUGAUUUGACCCCCUUUAAGUCUAUUACUGAUGUUUAGGAAUGCUUGUGGUUUUUGCACAUUGAU
RNAcentral lists this long non-coding RNA (1188 nucleotides) under Callithrix jacchus (white-tufted-ear marmoset). RNAcentral's name for it is "lncRNA (ENSCJAG00000087239.1)". The record is from RNAcentral. Lineage: Eukaryota; Metazoa; Chordata; Mammalia; Primates; Cebidae.